GAUGAACGCUAGCGGCAGGCCUAAUACAUGCAAGUCGAACGGGAUCCAGAUCAAAGCUUGCUUUGGUCUGGUGAGAGUGGCGCACGGGUGCGUAACGCGUGAGCAACCUACCCUUGUCAGGGGGAUAGCCCGGCGAAAGUCGGACUAAUACCGCAUGACAUCAUUGAGCGGCAUCUUUCGAUGAACAAAGAUUUAUCGGACAAGGAUGGGCUCGCGUGACAUUAGCUAGUUGGUAAGGUAACGGCUUACCAAGGCUACGAUGUCUAGGGGCUCUGAGAGGAGAAUCCCCCACACUGGGACUGAGACACGGACCAGACGCCUACGGGAGGCAGCAGUAAGGAAUAUUGGUCAAUGGACGGAAGUCUGAACCAGCCAUGCCGCGUGCAGGAAGACGGCCCUAUGGGUUGUAAACUGCUUUUAUACGGGAACAAACGUCGGUACGUGUACCGGUCUGAGUGUACCGUAAGAAUAAGGAUCGGCUAACUCCGUG
This 490-nucleotide ribosomal RNA is filed under the name uncultured bacterium. RNAcentral's name for it is "partial 16S ribosomal RNA". It matches the Rfam family "Bacterial small subunit ribosomal RNA", at positions 28 to 507 of the family's 1533-position model. The record is from RNAcentral.